ACUGGUCACAGCAUGGACAACACACUGUUCUGACAGACCAUACAACCAAACCGUCCUCACACCCCAAGUCUUCCAACACAGGUUCUUAGGAGGAUAGACAACUUCCGUGAUGGUGAGAAGGACUCCAGCGCCCAUUCAGUCCAUCCCUCCCCCUCCUGAUGGGGUCUUCUAGAGAUGAUCUAGUUAGAUUAUAUUAGGUUGUCCCUCCACCUCCUGAUGGGGUCUUUUAGAGAUGAUCUAGUUAGAUUAUAUUAGGUUGUCCCUCCUGAUGGUGUCUUCUAGAGAUGAUCUAGUUAGAUUAUAUUAGGUUGUCCCUCCUGAUGGGGUCUUUUAGAGAUGAUCUAGUUAGAUUAUAUUAGGUUGUCCCUCCUGAUGGGGUCUUCUAGAGAUGAUCUAGUUAGAUUAUAUUAGGUUGUCCCUCCUGAUGGGGUCUUCUAGAGAUGAUCUAGUUAGAUUAUAUUAGGUUGUCCCUCCCCCUCCUGAUGGGGUCUUCUAGAGAUGAUCUAGUUAGAUUAUAUUAGGUUGUCCCUCCUGAUGGGGUCUUUUAGAGAUGAUCUAGUUAGAUUAUAUUAGGUUGUCCCUCCUGAUGGGGUCUUCUAGAGAUGAUCUAGUUAGAUUAUAUUAGGUUGUCCCUCCUGAUGGGGUCUUCUAGAGAUGAUCUAGUUAGAUUAUAUUAGGUUGUCCCUCCUGAUGGUGUCUUCUAGAGAUGAUCUAGUUAGAUUAUAUUAGGUUGUCCCUCCUGAUGGGGUCUUCUAGAGAUGAUCUAGUUAGAUUAUAUUAGGUUGUCCCUCCCCCCCCUGAUGGGGUCUUCUAGAGAUGAUCUAGUUAGAUUAUAUUAGGUUGUCUCUCCUGAUGGGGUCUUUUAGAGAUGAUCUAGUUAGAUUAUAUUAGGUUGUCUCUCCUGAUGGGGUCUUUUAGAGAUGAUCUAGUUAGAUUAUAUUAGGUUGUCCCUCCUGAUGGGGUCUUCUAGAGAUGAUCUAGUUAGAUUAUAUUAGGUUGUCCCUCCCCCUCCUGAUGGGGUCUUCUAGAGAUGAUCUAGUUAGAUUAUAUUAGGUUGUCCCUCCUGAUGGGGUCUUCUAGAGAUGAUCUAGUUAGAUUAUAUUAGGUUGUCCCUCCUGAUGGGGUCUUCUAGAGAUGAUCUAGUUAGAUUAUAUUAGGUUGUCCCUCCUGAUGGGGUCUUCUAGAGAUGAUCUAGUUAGAUUAUAUUAGGUUGUCCCUCCUGAUGGGGUCUUCUAGAGAUGAUCUAGUUAGAUUAUAUUAGGU
This is a long non-coding RNA of Oncorhynchus keta (chum salmon), 1263 nucleotides long. RefSeq lists it as uncharacterized. NCBI's taxonomy places the organism in Eukaryota, Metazoa, Chordata, Actinopteri, Salmoniformes, Salmonidae. The transcript has 3 exons. The record is from RefSeq and is a predicted model, not a curated record.